ACACUGCUGACGAGUCCCAUAAUAGGACGAAACGGCCGUCCAGUGC
Molecule: non-coding RNA, 46 nt
Filed under: Schistosoma mansoni
Lineage: Eukaryota; Metazoa; Platyhelminthes; Trematoda; Strigeidida; Schistosomatidae
Source: RNAcentral